This 196-nucleotide ribosomal RNA is filed under the name uncultured bacterium. RNAcentral's name for it is "partial 16S ribosomal RNA". It matches the Rfam family "Bacterial small subunit ribosomal RNA", at positions 328 to 539 of the family's 1533-position model. The record is from RNAcentral.
ACGCUCGACACCUACGGGAGGCAGCAGUGGGGAAUAUUGCACAAUGGGGGGAACCCUGAUGCAGCGACGCCGCGUGAGUGAAGAAGUACUUCGGUAUGUAAAGCUCUAUCAGCAGGGAANAAAAUGACGGUACCUGACUAAGAAGCCCCGGCUAACUACGUGCCACAGCCGCGUAAUCUGAGCGGGCUGGCAAGGC